GAUAGUGGAAGAAAAGUAGAAGACCCUGAAUUGCUUGAGGCCAUUCGUCUCACAGUCAUA
This 60-nucleotide small RNA is filed under the name Arabidopsis thaliana (thale cress). RNAcentral describes it as "ATSL011280". The record is from RNAcentral. Lineage: Eukaryota; Viridiplantae; Streptophyta; Magnoliopsida; Brassicales; Brassicaceae.